CCAGGUUGAGGUAGUAGGUUGUAUGGUUUAGAGUUAUAUCCUGGGAGUUAACUGUACAACCUUCUAGCUUUCCUUG
Non-coding RNA from Sarcophilus harrisii (Tasmanian devil), 76 nucleotides. Lineage: Eukaryota; Metazoa; Chordata; Mammalia; Dasyuromorphia; Dasyuridae. The record is from Rfam.